UUGAUUAAAGCCAAAAUAGAGGCAGGUCUCUGUUAAAGGCCAAAUUGAAAAUCUAGUCAUU
Molecule: transfer RNA, 61 nt
Filed under: Stygobromus tenuis potomacus
Lineage: Eukaryota; Metazoa; Arthropoda; Malacostraca; Amphipoda; Crangonyctidae
Description: tRNA-Asn
Source: RNAcentral